GAUGAACGCUGGCGGCGUGCCUAAUACAUGCAAGUCGAGCGAAUGGAUUAAGAGCUUGCUCUUAUGAAGUUAGCGGCGGACGGGUGAGUGACACGUGGGUAACCUGCCCAUAAGACUGGGAUAACUCCGGGAAACCGGGGCUAAUACCGGAUAACAUUUUGAACCGCAUGGUUCGAAAUUGAAAGGCGGCUUCGGCUGUCACUUAGGGAUGGACCCGCGUCGCAUUCGCUAGUUGGGGAGGUAACGGCUCACCAAGGCAACGAUGCGUAGCCGACCGGAGGGGUUGAUCGGCCACACAGGGACUGAGACACGUCCCAGACUCCUACGGGAGGCAGCAGUAGGGAAUCUUCCUCAAUGGACGAAAGUCUGACGGAGCAACGCCGCGUGAGUGAUUAAGGCUUUCGGGUCGUAAAACUCUGUUGUUAGGGAAGAACAAGUGCUAGUUGAAUAAGCUGGCACCUUGACGGUACCUAACCAGAAAGCCACGGCUAACUACGUGCCAGCAGCCGCCGUAA
This 515-nucleotide ribosomal RNA is filed under the name uncultured bacterium. RNAcentral describes it as "partial 16S ribosomal RNA". It matches the Rfam family "Bacterial small subunit ribosomal RNA", at positions 28 to 523 of the family's 1533-position model. The record is from RNAcentral.